CUCAGGAUGAACGCUAGCGACAGGCUUAACACAUGCAAGUCGAGGGGCAACAGGGAGUGUGCUUGCACACUCUGCUGGCGACCGGCGCACGGGUGAGUAACACGUAUGCAACCUGCCCUUUACAGAGGGAUAAUCGGAAGAAAUUUCGUCUAAUACCUCAUAACACCUUUUCCGCAUGGGAUUAAGGUCAAAGAAUUUCGGUAAAGGAUGGGCAUGCGGAGCAUUAGGUAGUAGGCGGGGUAACGGCCCACCUAGCCGACGAUGCAUAGGGGUUCUGAGAGGAAGGUCCCCCACACUGGUACUGAGACACGGACCAGACUCCUACGGGAGGCAGCAGUGAGGAAUAUUGGUCAAUGGGCGAGAGCCUGAACCAGCCAAGUCGCGUGAGGGAAGACGGCCCUACGGGUUGUAAACCUCUUUUGUCAGGGAGCAAAGACAGGUAUGUAUACCUGGAUGAGAGUACCUGAAGAAAAAGCAUCGGCUAACUCCGUG
RNAcentral lists this ribosomal RNA (492 nucleotides) under uncultured bacterium. RNAcentral's name for it is "bacterial SSU rRNA". It matches the Rfam family "Bacterial small subunit ribosomal RNA", at positions 23 to 507 of the family's 1533-position model. The record is from RNAcentral.